CGUCCUGCUCGGCGGCGCCCGACGCCCUCCGGGGCCGGAGCUGCCCCGGCUGCCCCGGGCCCUGCUCCCUUGGGGAGGGGGGACGGGCCCUGGCGGCCAGCACCGGCCCGGACCGGCCGGGAUCCGCCCCGUCGGCAGGCCCCGGCCCCCGCGGCGUCGGCACCGGCACCCGGUAGCAGUGGGUUAGCGAGGUGCGCUGAGAAUUUUGACUUAACCAUAAGGUGGAUGGAAAGUGAUACGUUGUUACGGAAACCAGGAGACUGAAGAGUGCUAGUUCAUAAGGCUGACAAGGAACUGAGAAUGGAACUCUGCUAUAAGCAAGAUACCGCCUCA
This 333-nucleotide long non-coding RNA is filed under the name Dromaius novaehollandiae (emu). RNAcentral describes it as "lncRNA (ENSDNVG00000016199.1)". The record is from RNAcentral. Lineage: Eukaryota; Metazoa; Chordata; Aves; Casuariiformes; Dromaiidae.